GAACAGACGAGGAGCUUGCUCCUCUGACGUUAGCGGCGGACGGGUGAGUAACACGUGGAUAACCUACCUAUAAGACUGGGAUAACUUCGGGAAACCGGAGCUAAUACCGGAUAAUAUAUUGAACCGCAUGGUUCAAUAGUGAAAGACGGUUUUGCUGUCACUUAUAGAUGGAUCCGCGCCGCAUUAGCUAGUUGGUAAGGUAACGGCUUACCAAGGCAACGAUGCGUAGCCGACCUGAGAGGGUGAUCGGCCACACUGGAACUGAGACACGGUCCAGACUCCUACGGGAGGCAGCAGUAGGGAAUCUUCCGCAAUGGGCGAAAGCCUGACGGAGCAACGCCGCGUGAGUGAUGAAGGUCUUCGGAUCGUAAAACUCUGUUAUUAGGGAAGAACAAAUGUGUAAGUAACUAUGCACGUCUUGACGGUACCUAAUCAGAAAGCCACGGCUAACUACGUGCCAGCAGCCGCGGUAAUACGUAGGUGGCAAGCGUUAUCCGGAAUUAUUGGGCGUAAAGCGCGCGUAGGCGGUUUUUUAAGUCUGAUGUGAAAGCCCACGGCUCAACCGUGGAGGGUCAUUGGAAACUGGAAAACUUGAGUGCAGAAGAGGAAAGUGGAAUUCCAUGUGUAGCGGUGAAAUGCGCAGAGAUAUGGAGGAACACCAGUGGCGAAGGCGACUUUCUGGUCUGUAACUGACGCUGAUGUGCGAAAGCGUGG
This 714-nucleotide ribosomal RNA is filed under the name uncultured Staphylococcus sp. RNAcentral's name for it is "bacterial SSU rRNA". It matches the Rfam family "Bacterial small subunit ribosomal RNA", at positions 68 to 764 of the family's 1533-position model. Lineage: Bacteria; Bacillati; Bacillota; Bacilli; Caryophanales; Staphylococcaceae. The record is from RNAcentral.